This 471-nucleotide ribosomal RNA is filed under the name Campylobacter coli. RNAcentral's name for it is "partial 23S ribosomal RNA". It matches the Rfam family "Bacterial large subunit ribosomal RNA", at positions 1 to 491 of the family's 2925-position model. The record is from RNAcentral. Lineage: Bacteria; Pseudomonadati; Campylobacterota; Epsilonproteobacteria; Campylobacterales; Campylobacteraceae.
AAAGGUAAGCUACUAAGAGCGAAUGGUGGAUGCCUUGACUGGUAAAGGCGAUGAAGGACGUACUAGACUGCGAUAAGCUACGGGGAGCUGUCAAGAAGCUUUGAUCCGUAGAUUUCCGAAUGGGGCAACCCAAUGUAUAGAGAUAUACAUUACCUAUAUAGGAGCGAACGAGGGGAAUUGAAACAUCUUAGUACCCUCAGGAAAAGAAAUCAAUAGAGAUUGCGUCAGUAGCGGCGAGCGAAAGCGCAAGAGGGCAAACCCAGUGCUUGCACUGGGGGUUGUAGGACUGCAAUGUGCAAGAGGUGAGUUUAGCAGAACAUUCUGGAAAGUAUAGCCAUAGAGGGUGAUAGUCCCGUAUGCGAAAAACAAACCUUAGCUAGCAGUAUCCUGAGUAGGGCGGGACACGAGAAAUCCUGUCUGAAGCUGGGUCGACCACGAUCCAACCCUAAAUACUAAUACCAGAUCGAUAGU